This 1335-nucleotide ribosomal RNA is filed under the name Triticum aestivum (bread wheat). RNAcentral's name for it is "partial small subunit ribosomal RNA". The record is from RNAcentral. Lineage: Eukaryota; Viridiplantae; Streptophyta; Magnoliopsida; Poales; Poaceae.
AUGCGUGGUCCGCAUCAUACUACACCCAACAAGAACAAGCAUCAGGAACCCAACCUAGCUAGCUACGGAUCGAAAUCGAAAUCUUACAGAUCAAGCCGGCGGCGACUAACUGCACUCCAUCUCAGGGAGCGCCUCUCCGGCAUUACGGAGCACAGGGCCACCUCCGCCACGGCCGCUGGCAGAACCAUCCCCUCACCUCUCCGGCAUCUUUCUCUCCUGGCCGGAGAGACGCCUUACGUCCGAGAUGCACAAUCUGAACAAUCUUCAGCACGAAAGAGAACAAGACUGGACUUGGUGACAGUCAACCGAGUUGAAAAUAGAAGAGCCAUAGCAGAGCAGCAACCGGGUUUCGGUGGCCGUCGGAUCUGCGCUGCGAUCCGUGCGAGCACACGUGCCGCUAAUACGCGGGAACCAGCUUUCGAAGAACUGAUCAUACUUUAUUCCGAGGAUUCUGCUCAAAGUAAUGAGAAGGAGAGUUCUGAGAUGCAGAUGCUGCCGCCGCAGUUGAAAAUUUACGAGAAAAUACCCAUCCCAGAUCUGCCAGUAAGGCUUGAUAUAGCCACCGUUAUAGGAUUGUUGGCAUAUGUUGUCAACUACAAAUUUGAGAGUUUAGCCUCACUCCGUAAGUCAGCUUUCCUUCUUGAUCUAGCUGCUUUUACUGCACUUGCAAUACUCGUGUUCCGUGUGACUCUGGGAUACAAACAGACCAGAGAUUACCAGGAAACCAAGGUUUUUUAUGUACUUCUCAGUGCGACAGAAGAUAGUUUGUUUGACAUCAAUACCUCUUCCCAGCUUCUGGUCAAUAAGACGCUGUACGAGAAGACGUUAGCAAGUGGCUUUGGUUCAGUUUACUUUCUUCUCGAUGCUUCCGAGCAACAACAGUAUAAAGAAGCACUCCUGGCAUAUGCUAUGUUACUUGGCAGAAAUAAGAUUGAAAUGCUUAUCGACAAAGCUAUGGAGACACUGCUGCGGUUGGGUCUGGUGGUCGAGCUGUCAACAAACGGCAGCUCCUCCUCUGUAAUAGCUCUUCCCUGUCCAGACGCUUAUGAGAUCCUAUGUACACUGGAGAAGUUGAAGGGAAAAUACACCACUGCAUUUCCAAAAAGAAUAGAUGCUUCUGGAUUUCGAACCUUGAGCCAACGAAGUUGCCCAGCCCAAGCCCAGCUGCUCUCUAAUGGACUGGAAGGUAAUCUUCAACUGAUGCCCUCCCUGGAUAGAUCGAGUGCAUGGAAAUUUACUGCCAGCAACUUGCAGCAAAUGAUCAUCAAAAGAAGAGAUGAUCCCUGGUUUCUAGCUGUAAAUUUCCUGACAAAACACCCGAUGCAGCUCUUCUGA